This 72-nucleotide small RNA is filed under the name Oceanihabitans sediminis. Its description in RNAcentral is "Flavo-1 RNA". It matches the Rfam family "Flavo-1 RNA". The record is from Rfam by way of RNAcentral. Lineage: Bacteria; Pseudomonadati; Bacteroidota; Flavobacteriia; Flavobacteriales; Flavobacteriaceae.
GAUUUUCCGCGUUAAGGAUAGUAGUGGCAUCCUUUUGCACAGCAAAAGAUAUAACGGAUAGCCUGACCUUAU